This 506-nucleotide ribosomal RNA is filed under the name uncultured bacterium. RNAcentral describes it as "partial 16S ribosomal RNA". It matches the Rfam family "Bacterial small subunit ribosomal RNA", at positions 30 to 523 of the family's 1533-position model. The record is from RNAcentral.
AUUGAACGCUGGCGGCAGGCCUAACACAUGCAAGUCGAGCGGCAGCGGGAGAAAGCUUGCUUUCUUGCCGGCGAGCGGCGGACGGGUGAGUAAGGUAUGGGGAUCUGGCCGAAGGCGGGGGAUAACCACUGGAAACGGUGGCUAAUACCGCAUAAUCUCUAAGGAGCAAAGUGGGGGACCUUCUGGCCUCACACCUUCGGAUGAGCCCAUAUGAGAUUAGCUAGUAGGUGGGGUAAAGGCUCACCUAGGCGACGAUCUCUAGCUGGUCUGAGAGGAUGAUCAGCCACACUGGGACUGAGACACGGCCCAGACUCCUACGGGAGGCAGCAGUGGGGAAUAUUGCACAAUGGGCGCAAGCCUGAUGCAGCCAUGCCGCGUGUAUGAAGAAGGCCUUCGGGUUGUAAAGUACUUUCAGUCGUGAGGAAGGUGUUAAGGUUAAUAGUCUUAGCAAUUGACGUUAGCGACAGAAGAAGCACCGGCUAACUCCGUGCCAGCCGCCGCAGUAA